RNAcentral lists this ribosomal RNA (482 nucleotides) under uncultured bacterium. Its description in RNAcentral is "partial 16S ribosomal RNA". It matches the Rfam family "Bacterial small subunit ribosomal RNA", at positions 30 to 507 of the family's 1533-position model. The record is from RNAcentral.
AUUGAACGCUGGCGGCAUGCCUUACACAUGCAAGUCGAACGGUAACGGGCCUUCGGGUGCCGACGAGUGGCGCACGGGUGUGUAAUACAUCGGAACGUGCCCGAUCGUGGGGGAUAACGAGGCGAAAGCUUUGCUAAUACCGCAUACGAUCUACGGAUGAAAGCAGGGGACCGCAAGGCCUUGCACGGACGGAGCGGCCGAUGGCAGAUUAGGUAGUUGGUGGGAUAAAAGCUUACCAAGCCGACGAUCUGUAGCUGGUCUGAGAGGAUGAUCAGCCACACUGGAACUGAGACACGGCCCAGACUCCUACGGGAGGCAGCAGUGGGGAAUUUUGGACAAUGGGCGCAAGCCUGAUCCAGCCAUGCCGCGUGCAGGAUGAAGGCCUUCGGGUUGUAAACUGCUUUUGUACGGAACGAAAAGCCUUCUUUUAAUACAGGAGGGUCAUGACGGUACCGUAAGAAUAAGCACCGGCUAACUACGUG